GAUGAACGCUGGCGGCGUGCCUAAUACAUGCCAGUCGAGCGAACGGACGAUAAGCUUGCUGCUCGGAUGUUAGCGGCGGACGGGUGAGUAACACGUGGAUAACCUACCUAUAUUACUGGGAUAACUUCGGGAAACCGGCUCUAAUACCGGAGAAUCUUUUGAACCGCAGGGUUGAAAGGAGAAAUACGGCCUUGCGGGCACUUAUAGCGGCAUCCGCGCUGCAGUAGAUAGUUGGUAAGGUAACCGCUUAUCAAGGCAACGAUGCAUAGCCGAGGUGUGAGGGUGAUAGGCCGCACUGGAACUGAGACACGGUCAAGACUACUACGGGAGGCAGCAGUAGGGAAUGUGCCGCAACGGGCGAGAGCAUGACGGAGCAACGCGGAGUGAGUGAUGGCGGUCUUCGGAUCGUAAAACUCUGUUAUUAGUGAAGAACAUAUGUGUAAGUAACUGUGCACAUAUUGACGGUAACUAAUAAGAAAGCAACGGCUAACUACGUG
RNAcentral lists this ribosomal RNA (497 nucleotides) under uncultured bacterium. RNAcentral describes it as "partial 16S ribosomal RNA". It matches the Rfam family "Bacterial small subunit ribosomal RNA", at positions 28 to 507 of the family's 1533-position model. The record is from RNAcentral.